Long non-coding RNA from Herpailurus yagouaroundi (jaguarundi), 430 nucleotides. RefSeq lists it as uncharacterized. The transcript is spliced from 2 exons. Lineage: Eukaryota; Metazoa; Chordata; Mammalia; Carnivora; Felidae. The record is from RefSeq and is a predicted model, not a curated record.
CAGGGCUGCGGGGUGGAGGCCAGCCCUGCUCAGCCCAGCAGGGGCUAUGAGGGGGAGCUGUGGCCCCCGGCGGACUGACUCCUGCAGGAACCCCAGGGGCAUGGGUUCGAAGGGGAUGGGGACCCAAACACCAAGCGGCUCCAUCAGGAAGACUGACUGCAGGUGCGACGGAGACAGGGAGGCAAGGGCUUCUUCCCCCCGUGUGUGCUGGAGCAGCUCAAGGUGGCACGAGACGCUGGACGAGUGUGAGUCCCCAGGGCAGCAGUGGGCGGGCGUCGCUCUAGGCCAUGUGACUGCACAGCUCUGUGGGUCCGUGGGACCCCCUCUCCUGGCAGGAGCCCACGUACCGCAACCUCUCUGGGGCUGGCUGGGGCAGUGGGGCCUGGCCCUUGGUGGGGUUUAGCCCUGGGCUGAUACUUUCAAGUUCACA